GGGCGGUUAGCUCAGCUGGGAGAGCGCAUCCCUUACAAGGAUGAGGUCGCUGGUUCGAUCCCAACACCGCCCACCA
This 76-nucleotide transfer RNA is filed under the name Acidobacteriota bacterium. RNAcentral's name for it is "Acidobacteria bacterium tRNA-Val". It matches the Rfam family "tRNA". From Rfam's summary of the family: Transfer RNA (tRNA) molecules are approximately 80 nucleotides in length. Their secondary structure includes four short double-helical elements and three loops (D, anti-codon, and T loops). RNAcentral also lists the same sequence under 1 other name. The record is from RNAcentral. Lineage: Bacteria; Pseudomonadati; Acidobacteriota.